This 253-nucleotide ribosomal RNA is filed under the name uncultured bacterium. RNAcentral describes it as "partial 16S ribosomal RNA". It matches the Rfam family "Bacterial small subunit ribosomal RNA", at positions 524 to 776 of the family's 1533-position model. The record is from RNAcentral.
UACGUAGGGUGCGAGCGUUAAUCGGAAUUACUGGGCGUAAAGCGUGCGCAGGCGGUGAUGUAAGACAGGUGUGAAAUCCCCGGGCUUAACCUGGGAACUGCAUUUGUGACUGCAUCGCUGGAGUGCGGCAGAGGGGGAUGGAAUUCCGCGUGUAGCAGUGAAAUGCGUAGAGAUGCGGAGGAACACCGAUGGCGAAGGCAGCCCCCUGGGCCAACACUGACGCUCAGGCACGAAAGCGUGGGGAGCAAACAGG